AGGCAAUGCAUGUUUCAGACAAGUUGUUUUUUCGAUCCUUCCGGUACCUUGCUUGACAUUUUGCAAUGUAAUAUGCACCAUCAAGUUACUAAUAGCAUCAACAAGAAGUUACUGAAAGCUUAUUGGCAUCCAUAUCCAAUAGAUUCUCCGAAAUCACACUUAUUUAAAGUGGUCUCAAUAUCUGUUAUAAAGAUUCAUUGUUAUUAUUCAUUGUUAUUAUAAGGAUUACGCAACUUUGGAACGCACGUGAACAAUUUGAUCACUGUGACGUAUCACGUGAACAUUUUUUGCCAGUAAUUUAUGAGUGUAUUGUUUUUCGUAUUUUGUGUACAAUAAAAUGUUUUGUGUGUAUAUUAUCGAAGAAAAGGUCAAAUUUAUCGUAGAAUUACUAUUCAUGACAUGGCGCCCAACGUGGGGCAUUAAGCCCAAGACCGUAUAAUCGAUUUAAAAUGUCUUUGGAAGCGAAUACAAAGGAAAAAUUUGACCGUUUACGAGCGAAGCGAGGAGGCCAUCGUGGCGUGUGCACAAAGUUAGCAAAGGAAGCGGAAGAGGUUAUCCAAUCUCAAGACGAAGAAAAUAUCAAUCGAAGCGAAGUUAUUCAUUCGUUACUGAGCGAGAAAUUGAAAAUACUUAACGAACUGGACGAAGAAAUCCUUGGAUUAUGCGAAAUUAAGGACAUAGAAAUCGAAAUAGAAGAGUCAUCGGAGAUAGUGGCUCGCAUAUUAAACGCUACAAAGAAAAUCGAGAAGUAUAAACGAGGACAUGGAAACGUAAACAAGGUCAGUAAUCAAACGAUUGUGAAUUCGAGCGAGAAUAGUGCUGUAAAUACGAAUGAAACGUCAAGUAAUAUUGAGCAAACAAGCGAUAAUUUGAAUGAAACCAGUAACCAAGCAACAAGUCAAUUACAAGGGGAUCAUAAUGUAAACAUAUCGUCACAUUAUUCAAAUACAACCGUGUCAUCAAAACCAAAACUACCAAAGCUGACAUUACCAAAGUUUAGAGGUCAAGUGACAAUGUGGAAUACAUUUUGGGAUUCAUAUGAAUCAGCAAUACAUACAAACAAUGAUAUUUCAACCAUUGACAAAUUCAAUUACCUGAACUCUCUCUUAGAGGGUCCCGCAUUACGAGCUAUACAAGGACUUACAUUAACAAAUGCUAAUUAUGAGUCUGCCAUCCAAAUUCUCAAGGAUCGUUUCGGUAAGCCGCAACAAAUUGUAACAGCACACAUGGACGAAAUACUCAAGAUCCAAGCUUGCACUAGCGAUAAGUUAUCUGCUUUAAGAUUUGUAUACGACAAGAUCAGUGUACAUGUACGCGGCUUGGCUUCCUUGGGUAUCUCUUCAGAGCAAUAUGGAAGUUUAUUAAUACCCAUAAUCAUGUCAAAAAUGCCAAGCGAUGUUAGAUUACAAAUCGCUCGAAAGUCAACUAAGGAUGUUUGGGUAAUCGAUGAACUGCUUCAAACAAUCAAAAUCGAAAUUGAGGCGCGUGAAGCUAGCGAGGCAACCAAGGCAACUGAGAACAGUUCACAUAAAUUUCCGAAAUCGCAAGGUUCAGCAAAGGGAUAUAACCCCCCUACUGCUAGUAGUUUAGUAGCCAAAACAAAGGACGGUGGUAGUUUCAAAAUACAAUGUGUUUAUUGUGAAGGGAGUCAUUAUUUGGCUUCAUGUGACAAGGUUAUUAGUUCUGAAGCACGUAAGAAAAUUUUAGGAGAAUCUGGUCGCUGUUUUAAUUGUUUGUAUAAAGGUCACCAUGCCCGAGAUUGUACCAACCAGAGAAGAUGCCGUCAUUGCUCAGGUAGACAUCAGUCUAUCUGCGCUCGAAUCGAUAAGCAAAAAAAUAACGAAGCGACUAAACAUGAAGAUAAUCAACCGGAAGUAAAUUCGAAUUUGACAGUGACUGCCACACGAGUAUCUCAGGGAACUGUUUUAUUACAAACAGCUCGGGCGGUUGCAACAAAUGGUGAGAAAUCAGUACCAGUGCGAGUACUAUUUGACACUGGAAGUCAGCGGACCUACAUCACUAAUUCAGUUCAGAGACGGUUGAAUUUAAAGCCCACAUCGAGGGAAACACUUAAUUUGAAUACGUUUGGCAACAACAAAUUCAAGCGAAAGGAUUGUGAUGUAUAUAAGCUUACUUUAGAAAGUAGAACCGAUCGAGAUAGCGUCGAAAUUUCUGCCAUUAAUCUCCCCACUAUUUGUUCUCCUGUACGAACAAGGGUUAACACAAGUUAUGCACACUUAAGGGGACUGGAACUAGCAGACUACAACGAAGAGAGUAAGGAUGAUACUAUUGAUAUCCUUAUUGGGGCUGACCACUACUGGGAUUUUAUAACGGGAGACAUUGUUUGAGGUGAAGGUGGGCCCACAGCCAUUAGCAGUAAGCUAGGUUGGUUAUUGUCGGGUCGCACAACUCAAUCUUCAUCCAACAACCAUUCCAGCAUGUCCAACCUCAUUUUAGCUGGUGAUCCAUGCCAGAAUUCUGCCAUUCCAAAUCGAAACGAUGAAAUUGUUGAUUCACUAAAACGAUUCUGGGACACUGAAUCCAUUGGGAUCACUGAUAACAAACAAGAUUCCCACCAAGAUGACAAAUUUCUGCAAAACAUCCAAUUUACAGGUGAGCGUUACAAAGUGGGACUUCCAUGGAAAGAAGAGCGUCCUAUGCUAGACCACGACUAUGAUUUAUGUUACAACCGACUGCGUUCGUUGUACAGCAAACUAAAGAAACAACCGGAACUACUUCAAGAAUACGAUAAGAGCAUCAAAGAUCAAAUAGAAUUGGGAAUCAUUGAGGAAGUACCUCGUGUGAAUGGAAGCACAAGCAAUAACCAAGACAACGAUAAUGUACAUUAUCUCCCACAUCACGCUGUCGUGCGUGAAGAUAAAUCCACUACGAAAUUACGUGUAGUAUACGACGGUUCUGCUACUACCAAAGAACGGAACUAUUCACUCAACGAUUGCCUAUAUAUUGGUCCUAACAAUAUUCCUCAUUUAUUCAACAUACUCGUGAAGUUCAGAUCCCAUGCAGUUGGAUUGGUUGCAGAUAUAGAAAAGGCAUUCUUAAUGGUGGGCAUAGAUCAUGUGGACCGGGACAUGCUACGUUUUCUUUGGCUUAAGAACAUUCAGGAACCGAUUCCAGAAAUCAUCGAGUUUCGAUUUACCAGAUUAGUCUUUGGAUUAAGACCAUCGCCUGCUAUGUUGGGAGCUACGAUUAAUCAUCACUUGAAUUUAUAUGAAGACGAGAAUCCUGAUGCAGUCAAAGUAUUAAAGAAUGGCCUGUAUGUCGAUGAUUUAGUUUCUGGGGCUCCGAGUGAUGAUGAAGCAUUAGAUAUUUACAAGGGCACCAAAGGCAUCAUGCUAGCUGGUGGUUUCAAUUUACGUAAGUGGGCUUCCAAUUCGAAUACUGUUGUUGAAACUAUAACCCAGGCAGAGAGUAAUAUCGAUUCAGACAACAAACCCUCGUCCCCAGCCAUAGUACCCUCGUCCCCAGCCCUGAUCGAAGUACCCUCGUCCCAAGUCGUGAUCGAAGAACCCUCGUCCCCAGCCACGAUCGAAGAACCCUCGUCCCCAGCCAUAGUACCGUCGUCCCCAGCCAUGAUCGAAGUACCCUCGUCCCCAGCCGUGAUUAAAGAACCCUCGUCCCCAAUCGUAAUGGAAGAAACCGAGUCCUACACUAAAACAACAAUCGGUCAAGAAACCACUGUGACAAAGGAUAAAUGCGUCAAGGUACUUGGGGUCCUUUGGGACACUGAGAAUGACACGUUUAUGUUCGAAUUUUCGAGUUUGGUUCAAUAUGCUCGUUCCUUGCCUGCGACGAAACGCUCUGUGCUAAAGGUUACUUCGAAAAUCUUUGAUCCUGUUGGAUUUCUAACACCAUUUGUCAUCAAGAUGAAAGCAUUAUUUCAAGAAUUGUGUGUCGAAGGAAGUGAAUGGGACGACGAACUCAAACAUGGACUUCUAACCAAGUGGAACACAAUAUUAGUCGAGUUAAAUACCUUAAAUGAUUUACGGAUUCAACGAUGUUAUUUUAAAUCUACAGAAAAGCCGAUGAAGAUACAGCUACAUGGGUUUAGCGACGCCUCCAAAAUCGCAUAUGCCGCAGCUAUUUAUAUGAGAUCUUUAUACGAAAGUGGAAACAUCGAAGUAAGACUCGUAGCUUCAAAAUCGAAGGUGGCGCCGUUAAACGGACAAACGAUUCCUACGCCUAGAACUGUUAGGUGGCAAGAGUAACAAAGCGCAACUUCUCCGAAGGUCGAUUAGUCACCUGAUUCCAAUCGAAGUGAAGCAACCGCUUAGCGAGGUCAAGAAUAAAUCGGAAGCAACAAUUAGCGAACCGCCUGUAUCGUUAAAUACUCGUCCACGUCGUAUGGCGGCGGUCAUCGGAGAGCUUAAAAGAGCCGAACAACUGAAACAUAUCUGAAAACUUAAGAAAACUUAACGUAAUUACAGUAAUGUAUAUAUUCAUAUUUUAUCGAUUAUUGUCAACAUUGGGGAGUAUUGUUGAUCACUUGUACAGUGACUCAACGUUGGGGAGUGUUAUAAAGAUUCAUUGUUAUUAUUCAUUGUUAUUAUAAGGAUUACGCAACUUUGGAACGCACGUGAACAAUUUGAUCACUGUGACGUAUCACGUGAACAUUUUUUGCCAGUAAUUUAUGAGUGUAUUGUUUUACGUAUUUUGUGUACAAUAAAAUGUUUUGUGUGUAUAUUAUCGAAGAAAAGG
This is a non-coding RNA of Paramuricea clavata, 4716 nucleotides long. Lineage: Eukaryota; Metazoa; Cnidaria; Anthozoa; Malacalcyonacea; Plexauridae. The record is from the annotation of a GenBank genome assembly.